Non-coding RNA from Phasianus colchicus (ring-necked pheasant), 243 nucleotides. NCBI's taxonomy places the organism in Eukaryota, Metazoa, Chordata, Aves, Galliformes, Phasianidae. The record is from RefSeq and is a predicted model, not a curated record.
AAACCCAUCCAGAAGAUGGAAGGGAUGACCAACGGCGUGGCCGCGGGGCAGCAGCAGCCUGCGGGGCUCUCCGACAUCAGCACCCAAGUGCAGCAGUACCAGCAGUUCCUAGAUGCCUCGAGGACGCUGCCCGAUUUCCCCGAGCUGGAGCUGCACGGCAAAGCUCUGCCCGAAGGCGCCUGCGCCGAGGACGUGCGCGCCUUCCAGCUGCUGUACCGCGAGCACUGCGAGGCUAUCGUGGAU